Molecule: non-coding RNA, 4356 nt
Organism: Sus scrofa (pig)
Lineage: Eukaryota; Metazoa; Chordata; Mammalia; Artiodactyla; Suidae
Source: RefSeq, a predicted model, not a curated record
CCGAACCCGCAACCUCAUGGUUCCUAGUCGGAUUCGUUAACCACUGCGCCACGAUGGGAACUCCUGAGUUUCAAUUCUUAUCUUUGAGGCCUCAGAAUAUCAAAUUAGUACAGAGUUCCAGGACACUUUGGGGACAAAUUUUUGGAUCUAAGUCCAUAAGUAGAGAGCUGUUAUUGCUUGGAACACAUGGAGAAAAAUUGUUGGGGCAUUCUAGUCUUAAGGCAAGUCAUAAGGGCUUCCCUUAUGUAGAGGUAAUUUCAGCCUGUAAUUCUCCUUCCUUUCCCUCUUGUCUCAUGGACUAAGAUAAACACUUCUUAAGAUUUGUGAAUACAACAUAGAGGGCUUCUCAUUAAAAAGAACCACUGUGUAAAUGUCUUCUUCCUGGGAGGACUUCCUUUUGCCUACUAAAACUGACAGAGGGACUGAUCAUUUGAGUGUACAGGAAUACUAAGGAAUUUAAAAAGGUGAAGCCACUCUCUUAUUCAAUUCCAUAAUUCUAAGAUUUAAUAAAGUAGGUAUGAUCAUGUUGCCCUAGAAAAUAGAUUUACCUUUAGAAUUUAGGAAAGAAGGCCAGUAAACGAAUGGAUUUACUCCUUCACUGUCCAGUGAUUCUCGGACUUACCUCAUAAUGGAACAUUGAUUUCGCCUGACCGGUGAAUUUUCAUUAUUUGUGGUCAUAAGAAUUAGUACUAUUUUUAGUAUUGUAAAUUAUAUAAAAUAUGAUGUCUUUCAUGUUUUUAUUAAAGAUACACAGUACAGAAGGUAGAAAUUUAAGGUCAGCUUGGCUUCUAAUAGAUAAGUAAUAACUUGAGGGUGUCUCUCCCAGAUAGUUGUAUUUCUAUGCAUAGCUUGCUUUACCUUUUCCUGUCUAUGUAUGUCUAUGUCUGUUUAUCUAUCCAUCUGUCUGUCUGCCUGUCUAUCUAUCUGUUUCAUUUGUCUAUUCCCAUUGGUGAAACUGUUCACAUCAUUAUGUAUACUAAUUGAAAUCAUCAUAAUUAAAAAUUUAGUGUAAAUGCAAAUAUUCCCAAGAAAGUUGAGGAUGAGUGAAUUAUUUUAAUUAGAUUUUUUUUCUUAGCAGAUCUCUGGCACGUGUCAAGAGGAGAAUGUCUAACAUGCAUAGGGCAUUAUGAAAUCUGCUGACAACAACUGCAGCAAUCCUGUGUGUUCUUCAAGGCCCUGCUCAUUUGAUGUUACAGCAUAGUGACUAGCAAACGGCAGACUUUGAUGUCAGUGGACUCAGUCGUAAGUUUCUCUACUAGUUUUGUGACCUUGGGCUAGUCAUUUCCCCCCUUAGUUUCUAAAACCAUAAAUAUGAGGAUGGAUUGCUGAGAGACCUGAGUGGGUAGAAUGCAUGUAAAGUGCUUUGAAAGAUGCUCUGUGUUAACUGUUGUGUCAUAUUUAAUUUUUUUUGCCUUGCCUACAUAUCCAUUUAGCUUUUUUUCUUUUUUCAUAGUAUUUUGGAAGAAUAUUUCAAACUAUAUCCACUACACCACUGGUUUGAUUCCUCACAGUGUUAAGAUCAUCAGUUAUGUCUUCAAAUGUGGAUCUUAAUUGUGUUAUUGAUUUUAGUUUAAGAAAGCAAUCCUUUCUUAUGUAUAUCUUUCUUUUUGUGAUUCUGCGGGUUUUCUCUCUCACCCUUAUGACUUUAUUCUAUUUCAUAAAUGUUCUAACUUCUUCUGUUUUAAUUAAAAUACCAUAUAUAUGUAUAUCUAUUAAAUUUAUUCUUUCAAAAUUCUCUUUCUUACAUUGGGCCUUAAAUUUGAUGUAACUUCUGUCGUGUUGACAUUGCUUUUCACUUUUUUCCAGAAAUCCAGUUUUCUUUAUUUUUGUUUUAUUUUUCUGUUUAUUUAUUCUUAGAGUUUGCUAGCACACUGGGUGUGUGCACUGCCCUUGGACUCUAGGGACUGUUUACUUUAGUGAUGGUUAAGUCUACCUCUUAGACCUCUGGCCAUAAUGGCUUUUGGUACAGAGAGUUCCCCCCCUCCCCCAGUUUUCACUAUCUGCAGCUGUUUAUUUAGUGUCACUAUCUAAGAUUUGAUCUACUUUUACAUUUUACUGCUUGCUAUAUGUCGUUUCGUGUAAUAAGGACCUUAAAAACUACAGUCUUCAAUAUCCUCUGCUUCCACAAAUCUUCUCCCUACCUAUAUCUGUAAUGACUCAUUUGUAAGAAGUAUACGUUCUAAAAAUAAAUGUGCCAUUACUACUGUGCCCACACUUUAUUUCUUACCCAGUUUCCUAGAGUUUGCAGGAUUAGAUCAGAGGGAGAAAGGGAGGUCCCAAUGGUAGGUUGGGCAAUGGAAGUGGGAAGAAGCCUCCUGCCUGCUUCAAAAACCUGAACCUGUCACCAGGGAUCUAUAGCUCCUCCCUCUGGAUAGUACACUUGGGAUCCAAUGAAUUGUGAUGAAUUGGCUUUUCAUCCAAAACACCUACUAGAUGCUUGGCAUACGGUAGGUACUCAACAAAUGUAUAUUUCUUCCUCCUCUUUAUGGUGGGCAGUGUCACUGACUUUACUUUUAGUGAGGAUUCUUCCCAAAUGCUUCCUAAAUUCUGGUGUUAGUUCACUAUCUGUCUUAAUUCCCAGUGUAUGUCAUCUUUUCAUUUCUCUUAGAUGGUCAAUAGUGAAAGCCUUUUCAUACUGAAUUACCUAGGUAUGUUUUAGAAAUAUUGCACUGGUAUCACUGUGACAGAUGCAUUGAUAAUAGAGUGAGGUUGAGGAAGCAAGAAUAGUUAGUAGGAUACGUUUAUGAUUCUAACUCCAAAUGACAGAAUUUGAACAUUAGUAAGAAGAUGACAGAGAAGAGAAUGGAUUCAAGAUGUAUUUGAGAGGUGCAGUAACAAUGCUUAGCAAACGAUUAUAUGUGAUGUCUGGGGGAAACUGGUGACUAAGACAAAGAGGCCUACAGUGAGUAACAGACUCUAACUUGCAUUACUGAUUCAGUACCUUGGUGCAGGGGAGAGUAGGUUGCAGGGCAGGAAUUAAAAACUUUGGUUUUUGGCAUGUUAAGCCUAUGAAGUCUUCUGAGUGUCCAUUUGGAGAUAUUCAGAAGGUAGUUGUAACUACGGAUCUGCAUUUUAGGAGAUCAGUCAUGACAGAGGAUAUGGGUUUGGGAGUUACCAGCAUAUGGAAAUAGGAUUAAAAUGAAGAUAUAUUGUAUAUAAGGGGGCAGAUGACAGGGAAAGACAAGACUGUGGACAGUGACACAGUUGCAUUAGUCCAGGAAAGAAAUGAUCACUGAUUUCUUCAAAACAGUAACAAAGCAAAAGGAAGGAAGGAAGGUCCAAAUUUUGAAGACUUACUGUAAAUGUGCAAUCAAGUUAGAAAGAAAUCGUGUGCUGGGGCUGUAGUAAGUGGCUCAGAGCGCAUAAGGCCAAGGAAAGAUGUGAAAAUUUGGGAUGGAUAACAUGAGCCACCAGGAGGGAGGAGCAAAGGCCAGGGUCAAGUGAAACACUGUAGGCCCAGCUGAGACCAGAAACCAGACAUUUGUAGAGGCCACAAUUUUCACAAUAAGUGACUUUCUUCUUAUUUCUUGGGUUACAAGAAAUAAGAAGGUGGAUUUGUUGUCUUGAUACAAGUUUGAGGUUUUUUAGAUAGGCAUCACAAGAGGAUUAGAGGCCAGGAAUGGGCAAAAACGAAAGUAUGAGGCUAUGGGUAUAUAGGUUGUGUCCAGAAGCAGCUGAAACAAUAUAUGUUAGAGGUAGGGAGAGGUAGUAUUCUAGGAGAGAAAAGAUGGGUAAUGGGACCAGAGACCUAAAGUUGAUUGGAUAUUAGAUAACUUAGCUUUUGUAAAAUAAGUUUAUGGGAGGUAAGGCUCACAACAAAUGGUGAAAGUUAGAUGCUUGUAUUUAGAUUUCCUUUGCCUGAAGGGCUGCUCCAGGUAGUAAGCACAGAACUUAUAUGAAUGAACAAAAGGUGGCUUUACUAUCUGAAGCCAUGGGUGAUAGAAUAGAGGUACAUUCGAGGAUAUGAUCUUUCAGUUUUUGUCCAUAUCUCCUAUGGAUCUGAUACAGAUUUCUCAAUUGCAGUUUGUUUCUAGCCUUCCAUGUCAAUGUAGUAAUUACCCUGUAUGCAAUAAUAGAAGUAGCUGUUGAAAGGAUAAACUACAACAGUAAAUUGAUUAGAUGACUAUGUGAUGCUGUUUGGUGGCUGUAGGAUGGGUCUUCAACAACUAUAUUAUCUCUGAAACCUUGUCAGAAACUUUCCUCGGAUUAAUUUUUUUAAAAAUGCGAACUUAAGGAUGGCAGUGAAUUCACAAUAAGAUAAGAAUGACUUAACUGCUCCUUUACAUAGGUAGACGAGUAACCACGUUGGAGUGCUGGAUGCAUGACUGGAGAAGGGGGUUAUAGUGGUUAUAGAAA